Molecule: transfer RNA, 76 nt
Filed under: Bacillota bacterium
Lineage: Bacteria; Bacillati; Bacillota
Also listed under: 1 other name
Description: Firmicutes bacterium (anaerobic digester metagenome) tRNA-Trp
Rfam family: tRNA
About the family: Transfer RNA (tRNA) molecules are approximately 80 nucleotides in length. Their secondary structure includes four short double-helical elements and three loops (D, anti-codon, and T loops).
Source: RNAcentral
AGGGGAGUAGCUCAAUUGGUAGAGCACCGGUCUCCAAAACCGGGUGCUGCGGGUUCAAGUCCUGUCUCCCCUGCCA